This is a long non-coding RNA of Prunus mume (Japanese apricot), 695 nucleotides long. RefSeq lists it as uncharacterized. The record is from RefSeq and is a predicted model, not a curated record. Lineage: Eukaryota; Viridiplantae; Streptophyta; Magnoliopsida; Rosales; Rosaceae.
AUGGCCUUCUCAAAUCUUUCUACAAUCAGAUCUGACUUCCAAUUCCAAGCGAGAAACCGAGAGAGCGAGAGGGAGUCCGAGAGAAUAGAGAACCCCUGGGUUCCGUCGCUCGCGUCUCUGGGUAGACGACAUUCGAGAAUGGAGCCCUAUGGCAAAAUACGAACCCUAAAUCAUUUUCAUUGCCUUGUCCGGAGCUUGAUCCGGAUCCGAAUAAGGCAAUGAUUUAGGGUUUCGGAUGGUGCAAAGAGAACGGUGAGAUUGUCGGUCUCUGCGUCGACGAUGCAGAUGACAACAAUCCAGAACGUAGCCAUGUCGCGCGGAUCAGGAUCUGUCUCAGAUAACGGUCAUACAUUUAACUGAGCCCACUCAGCCUCAUUGACGUUCGAGUUUGGUUAUGGGAUGUUACAUUUUACGGAUGGGUUUCCUUCAAACAGUGUACCAGUUGCUUAACCUUGCUUCAGAGGGGGUGGGAAAAUGAAGGCAACGGAUGAAAGCCAAAUGGGAAAGAGGAUUGGAGUUGAAGCACGCCUGGCAUGGUUUUUUUCCAAGUGUUUUUGAAUCUCUUUUUUGUUUAGUUGUUUUAGUUCUAUGAUUAAGUGUUUCGAUUUUUAUUUUUUAUUUUUCAAUUUGCAGUUGAUAUUUUAAUUUCUUUUAAAAUAGAAAUGUCAUUACAUGUUAGGAGUUAAAACACUGGA